This 253-nucleotide ribosomal RNA is filed under the name uncultured bacterium. RNAcentral describes it as "partial 16S ribosomal RNA". It matches the Rfam family "Bacterial small subunit ribosomal RNA", at positions 524 to 776 of the family's 1533-position model. The record is from RNAcentral.
UACGUAGGGGGCAAGCGUUGUCCGGAUUUAUUGGGCGUAAAGAGCGUGUAGGCGGCCAGGUAGGUCUGCUGUGAAAGCUCCUGGCUUAACCGGGAGUGGUCGGUGGAAACUGCCCGUCUGGAGGACGGUAGAGGUAGGUAGAAUUCCCGGUGUAUUGGUGAAAUGCGUAGAGAUCGGGAGGAAUACCUGUGGCGAAGGCGGCCUACUGGGCCGGACCUGACGCUGAGACGCGAAGGCGUGGGGAGCGAACGGG